AUAUAUCUCUUAUUCGUCUUAUUUAUUUUAAUCGAUUUAAUUAUAUCAAUUCGCAAUAUCAUUACGGUUGUCUAUAACUUCUUGUAAUAAUAAUAAUUGUUGAUUGGUCCGUUGUAAUAGAGAAUAUUUUUGAACAACGUAGUAAAAGUAUAAACAAAAGAAGUACGCUUAAUUACGCCAAACUUCGCGAUCGUUCUUUGUUUUAACGUUCGAUCGGAAAAUUCGUUGUAAUCGUCGUUGUCGUGACCAUUUUUUUUCUUGUGUUUCUUGUGAUAAAAAUUCGUUUCUUCGUUUGUUUAAACAGUGUACAUUUUUGCGUAGGAAGAUUCAAAUCGUUCCAGUAAUCUUAUGGAGCUCAAAUAUAUGCCGUAGUUCCUGUUAGCAGAUGUACAAUACUCGUGAUUAAGUGACAAGAAGAAGAAGACGAAGACGAAGACGAAGAAGCAUCUAUCGUUAUGGGGUUACGUUUGAUGUUAAAUUUCCGGAGUUGACAGCUCGACGAUAAAAUGGUGCCGGUUAAGCGACAGCGGGAGUUACAAAAAUAUGAUGUACCGACUUCGACGCGAAAAAAAUGUCACUUCGAGUCCUUUCUAAUUUUAGGAGCGUAGAAAAAGAUAGCAAGAGAGAAAGAGAAAGAGAGAGAGAGAGGGAGAGAGAGAGAGAGAGAAUGAAAAAAGAAGAAAAAAAAAACAGACAAAUGGCGAAGACGAAGUACAAGACGAUUUGAUUGAAAAAUUCUUUCGUUUAAUGACAAAUUUUAAUGUCCAUCCAUUUUUCAUAUUAAAUAUAUAUCAUUUA
This is a long non-coding RNA of Vespa crabro (European hornet), 798 nucleotides long. RefSeq lists it as uncharacterized. The transcript is spliced from 2 exons. NCBI's taxonomy places the organism in Eukaryota, Metazoa, Arthropoda, Insecta, Hymenoptera, Vespidae. The record is from RefSeq and is a predicted model, not a curated record.